RNAcentral lists this ribosomal RNA (440 nucleotides) under uncultured bacterium. RNAcentral's name for it is "partial 16S ribosomal RNA". It matches the Rfam family "Bacterial small subunit ribosomal RNA", at positions 338 to 795 of the family's 1533-position model. The record is from RNAcentral.
CCUACGGGAGACAGCAGUGGGGGAUAUUGCACAAUGGGGGGAACCCUGAUGCAGCGACGCCGCGUGGGUGAAGAAGCGCCUCGGCGCGUAAAGCCCUGUCAGCAGGGAAGAAAAUGACGGUACCUGAAGAAGAAGCCCCGGCUAACUACGUGCCAGCAGCCGCGGUAAUACGUAGGGGGCAAGCGUUAACCGGAUUUACGGGGAGGAAAGGGGGCGCAGACGGCGAUGCAAGCCAGGGGUGAAAGCCCGGGGCCCAACCCCGGGACUGCUCUUGGAACUGCGUGGCUGGAGUGCAGGAGGGGCAGGCGGAAGUCCUGGUGUAGCGGUGAAAUGCGUAGAUAUCAGGAGGAACACCGGUGGCGAAGGCGGCCUGCUGGACUGCAACUGACGUUGAGGCCCGAAAGCGUGGGGAGCAAACAGGAUUAGAUACCCUUGUAGUC